Molecule: ribosomal RNA, 253 nt
Filed under: uncultured bacterium
Lineage: Bacteria
Description: partial 16S ribosomal RNA
Rfam family: Bacterial small subunit ribosomal RNA
Source: RNAcentral
UACGAAGGGGGCUAGCGUUGCUCGGAAUUACUGGGCGUAAAGGGCGCGUAGGCGGAUAUCUAAGUUGGGGGUGAAAUCCCUCGGCUCAACCGGGGAACUGCGUCUGAGACUGGAAGGCUUGAAUCCGGGAGAGGGAUGUGGAAUUCCAGGUGUAGCGGUGAAAUGCGUAGAUAUCUGGAGGAACACCGGUGGCGAAGGCGGCAUCCUGGACCGGUAUUGACGCUGAGGCGCGAAAGCCAGGGGAGCAAACGGG